GCAAACUUGAUACCAUAAUUUAUAUUGUCGCUACAGCCGCCCCAGUCAAAGUCUCCUUCUUUAUCUCUCGCCCGGCCUCUCUUGUGGGUGUCACAACUGCAAAUCUUCAGCUCUCCUUGACUGCAUGCUCUGGUGAUGGCAUAAACCACACCUGCAGAGGAUAUUGCAUAAACGAAUGCUGCUUCACGGCUACCUGACAGAGGAGAAAACGUGCUGCAGUUCCAGCGAUGGUGUCGGAACUGGUGCUGGCAUUCUCGGAUCCACUCUUUGGCUCCCUCUCCGAUGGAUUGCAUGAGAUCUGGGUGUCUUUGGCAGAGUUGCCUCUGCUUGUUCACCAGCCCUGGAAUGUUGUCACAUAUGACCCGUGCACCUAACGCACCAAUGUACCUGCAGAAACAAACAGAGUCACAUUUGUUGACUAUUGUAUCUGCUAAAUGAAUAAAUCUUAUGUAUAAAUGUCCAUUACUAUUGAAAUAGUUGGCCAAUGUCUUGUGAUUAUAAAUCAAUUUAAUGCAUAAUUAUUGAAUCAAUAACGUGUGAAACUGACUUUAUUGUUU
This is a long non-coding RNA of Carassius carassius (crucian carp), 557 nucleotides long. RefSeq lists it as uncharacterized. The record is from RefSeq and is a predicted model, not a curated record. The transcript has 2 exons. NCBI's taxonomy places the organism in Eukaryota, Metazoa, Chordata, Actinopteri, Cypriniformes, Cyprinidae.